GUGAGUCAUCGAAUCUUUGAACGCACAUUGCGCCCCUUGGUAUUCCGAGGGGCAUGCCUGUUCGAGCGUCAUGAACAAAUCUCAAGCCUUUGCUUGGUGUUGGGUAUUUCGUCUACUCUCUUUGUUUUAGGGAAGUGACGUGCCUGAAAGUCAAUGGUGGUGCCUCAAUAGACUCAAGCGUAGCAGACUGACUCGCUUUAGAGACGUUUUUGAUGGUGCUGUCAACCAAAAACAAACAAUUUGGACCUCGGAUCAGGUAGGGAUACCCGCUGAACUUAAGCAUAUCAAUAAGCGGAGGA
Molecule: unclassified non-coding RNA, 299 nt
Filed under: Geoglossum sp.
Lineage: Eukaryota; Fungi; Ascomycota; Geoglossomycetes; Geoglossales; Geoglossaceae
Description: partial contains 5.8S ribosomal RNA, internal transcribed spacer 2, and large subunit ribosomal RNA
Rfam family: 5.8S ribosomal RNA (bases 1-71)
Source: RNAcentral